This 235-nucleotide long non-coding RNA is filed under the name Elaeis guineensis (African oil palm). Its description in RNAcentral is "long non-coding RNA (EGUI_LNC015362)". The record is from RNAcentral. Lineage: Eukaryota; Viridiplantae; Streptophyta; Magnoliopsida; Arecales; Arecaceae.
GUUCUUCAUUUGCCUCUCAUUGUUGUAGCAUUCAUGUGUUGCGCAAGCUUGCAUCGGCGGGCUAGCUUUGAGGUUGAAACAACUCGGUCCUGCACUAGACAAUGUGCAGGGUUUAGCUGCUCUCAGCCAUCACAGGGGUGGAAUCUCAUACAGCUUAAGUUGCAAGUGCAAGCCAGUCUGAUUGUUUGGAUAUCUAUAACUCAAUUUUCGUAGUAAUUUGAGUUUUUUGUUGGGC